Molecule: long non-coding RNA, 5707 nt
Filed under: Triticum aestivum (bread wheat)
Lineage: Eukaryota; Viridiplantae; Streptophyta; Magnoliopsida; Poales; Poaceae
Description: long non-coding RNA (TAES_LNC014808)
Source: RNAcentral
UUUUUGGUAUUAUCGUUUUACUUGAGAAAGAAAAUGCUAAAACAAGCAAACAUCAAACGGCUAAGGAAUUAAAAAGACAAGAACAUCUCUCUCUCUAUAUAUAUAUAUAUAUAUAACAAUUAACAGGGGGAAGAAACAAGGUUGUAGGAUAGAACAUAAAUGUAUCACAUCACAGACACACACAUAUGUAUAUAUCACAGGGCACCACACACAUAUAUGAAGAUUACUAUUUCACUAAGCAAGAUAUGACAGAUCAAGUACUUCACAUAACAAACAUAUAUAUCCACAUGUACAUAGCUAACACAUGGACUAAGAAUUAAAGAGGUUCAAACUUCUCACUUGACAGAGCACACAAACAGCACAAAAAUUAACUAGUAAUCUUAGUUCUUACAAAAACACUAAUUGAUAAACAAGGCACAUAUAUUGAAUAAUACUACUAGACAAGUAUAGGUCUCUGAACUAGACAAAAUACUUAAUACAUUACAAUUUCCAUGAAUUACAGAGAGGGAUAAAGAGAACAGCAGGUUCAGUUGGAGACGAGCAGCAGCAGUAGGGGAUUCAGAGGAGGAGGAGCAAUAAGGGGCGCAAGAAGAAGCAGCAGCAGGUCCUGUUGAGGAAGAAGCAGCAGAUUCGUGGGGAAGAAGAAGAAGCAAGAGCAGCAGCAGAGGUAAGGGAAGAGAAGAAGAGCAGCAGUGGCAUGGGGAUCAGCAACAGGUUCAGAGAAGCAGCGGAGCAGCAGCAGUUUCGAGCAGAGGAGGGUUUCAGCAGGGAGGCGCAAGGAGAAGGAGCAUCAGGGAAAAGAUUUAGAGGACAGCAGCAUGGGAAUUAGAGAGAGGUGAGAGCCACACAGAAGUCCAGACACUGUCGGCUAUGUGUCUGGUCGGGCACGCCGGUUGGAGGUGAUGGUGGAUGGGUUCUAGCGGCGCUGUAGAUGGAGGGAAGGGUAGGUGGCUGGGAGGCGCAGAUGGAUGGAGAUGUAUGGGUGGUGCUGGUGGCGCGGUGGUGCUGAUGGCACGCCACCACGCCAGCCUGGUCGCGGCGGCGGCCAGAGGUGGAGAAGGAGGGGUGAGGGAGAGAGAUGUGUGCCAGGCUCGAUGGCGAAUGGAGGCGAUCUAGGGAUUUUGAUCCCCUCCCUGAUCUGAAAACUUUACACAUUAGCCCUCCUCCCUCUCUUCUUUCUUCACAAGAAGGUCCUCCCACUUCUUUAGCUAGCCCCCUGGUAACUUCUUUUCAUCUCACACAAGUCUCUUCUUCCUUCUCUUCUUUUCUUCACUCUUCUCGAUAGCCACCUAGACGGAAUCUUGACAGUUAUAGUGCCUUUGCGCACAUUUCUGCAAAAUAAACCAAAGACUAGUAAACGAUCCCCUUAAAUGAUUUUCAUUCAAAUAUGCAACAGUUCAUAGCAAGAAUUGAUGGUCAGAUCACAAUAUAUGGUAUAUUUGUGUGCCCAAAUUGUAUAUAUAUGAAAUGUGCUUAUCAAGUUCCCCCACACUUAAAUCUUUGCUUGUCCUCAAGCAAAGGCAUAUGACAAAGGCUGGAUAUGAACAGUGAACCGACUAGACAAUGUCAAGUGAAGUAGGUCUCUAAACAGUGCAUGCUUUGGACUUAGCUAGUGAAAAUUAAUGGUUAAGAGUGCUACAGAGCAAUAGGACACUAGUAAACUCAAUCAUUUUAGACUUUUACAAAGAUAAAAGUGGAUCAACAAGUUCAAAUGCUGAUUGCGCCAAAGGGUUCCUAAAGAGAGCAUGAUCCCAAAAAAACUUAUUACCCAAAACAUAACAUUAUGGUUGAAGCACUUAUUGAAUUUGAAGGAAGUAAUGAUAAUAUUUUAUCGAUCUCACCAAAGGAACAUACCACCGAUCCCGAGAACAUGGUAUACACCUGGCUCGACCAAUUAUUAGUUAGUUUUUUGUUUGUCUCCCCAAAGGAACAUACCACUGAUCCAGAGAACAUGGUAUACACCUGGUUCGACAAUUACAAUUUAUUAGUAAUUACUACCCGAGCUAACCGAUUUCACAUGCCACCGAUCUAGGGAACAUGACAUGUUACUGUAGGUAGUCAGACUUAUUCAUUCAUUAAAAGAUAUACUUUUUUACUUUUGAAAUGAACAAAACAAGAAUCAUCACUCAUCCAUGUCUGGUUCACAUACUACCGAUCCAGGGAACAUAGCAUGCUAAUCCAUAGUGGUUAGGUGAUUGCUCUCAAUGGGAACACACUUAGCACAAAUUCAACAUAUGACACUUGAUGAUCUAGGUGUAUCAAAGUAAAUGCAGAAAAUGAUGAAGUUUUCUAGUGUACUAGGGAUUUGAGCACUCAAAACUAAUAACCUUCACUAAUUUCAGCCAAGCAUGCAUGGUGUAGAUCACUAGUUUACAAGGCGUUCAGAAAUCAAGUUCAUAAAUUCACAUCAAGCACGAUGCCAAAGGUGAAUUUCAGCUUGACAACAAGUAAUAGCUCGCUCAAGCAACCCAACUAGCAAUUGAUUCCAACUUGUAUCAAUAGAUGAUAUAUUCAGAUUAGGAUCAUGAAACAGCUCACCAGGCUUUAUGAAGUAGAACUCACUCGAUCAUCUCACAUCCUCUUGCAUCGUGACUCCUCUCCUUUUGCUUCUCUAUCCUCAUGCUCUCUAUCCUCGUGCACGCUCCAGCUUUUCUCUUCCUUGUAUGUGCCCAUUAAUUCUCCUCUUCACCAUGCUCUAAAUCCACCGGGGUCCCAAGGAAUGUCACCUCGAACCUGAUCACCCUGUAGUGAAUGGUGCAGUAGCAAAAACCUGAAAGAGCACUCGACAAAAGAGACCAUACAAGUGAAAGGGGUAAUGCCCUCUAAAUCAUCAAUAGAGUACCCAAUUACAUAAGCAUAGCUAUAAAGAACAUGACGAGUAUGAUAGGAAUCAGCAAGCUCAAUACUAACAUGAGGAUGAUAUUUAUCAUUAAGCAUAGAUUUGGCAUGAGGAAAAUAAGUGUGAUCAUCAUUAAUAUGAGCAAUGCCACCAACAGUAUAUGUAUCAUCAUAUCCAAGCAAACACUUCUUCAAAUCUACUUUAACAGAUAACAUCAUGCAAUGCAAGGUAGUAGCAAAAAAUUCAUAUGGACGCAUGUCAUCGAGAGGAUUAGAUAAACCUGCUAUAUCACACUCUUGUAUGACGAUGGGAAAAUGAAUUUCUGGUUCUUCAUCUUCAACUACAAGAGCUUCUUUUACUUCUUCAGGAGUGAUAGGCAACGGAUCUUCGUCUUGAUCACUUGGGCAUUCAAGCUCUUGGUCAUCUUGUUCCUUGUCUUCUAGUUCAUCUUCUUCAAUCUAAGAUAUCUCUUCCUCAAGGCACUUGCUAUCUUCCUUGGCAGGAUAUGAAGGUGUUGGAACCUCACAUGUAUCAAGGGGAAUCCCAGGAACACUCAUCUCAAGCUGUGAAGAAAUAGUGCUGCCAGCGUUGAUGUUCUUCUCAAUCUUCCUUACUUCUUCAACUAGCUCUUUUCCACUCUUGAUCUUCUUCAUUUCCUCUAGUAUAACCUUCCUAAUAGGAUCAUCCUUGGCACUCCAAGUGAACUCAAGACUAAGCAAUGUGAGGUUGUCUAUAUCAUCAAAUUUAUCUUGUGUGGGCACUUGCACAUGAGAUUGCUCGGCGGUUGCUGGAGUUGAUGGUUGACCAAAUGGAGGACCAUUUAACUCCAUUGGCAACAUCUCCUGGUGUUGAGGUAUAUGAGUAGGAGCUGAAUAAAUCUGGUGUGGAGCAUAGUUGUGGCUCUCCUCAUUGUACCUAAAUCCCUGCAUAUAAUUACUAGAAGCAAACAGUGAGAUCUCAGGGUUGUUGCUCCUAUAUGACAUAUUCUGGUUCUCAGGCCACCCAUAUGAGUAAUUGUUUUGGUAUGAGCUAGGCUGUGGGGCGAAGCUCAUGCCAUAACAAUCGGGAGAGUGAGAGUAACCACGCUGACAUUCAGCAGGUGAAUGGCCCUGAAAUCCACAAAUAUGGCAUGUAGGAGCAACAUAAGGAUGACCUCUAGAAUAAGGAUCAUAAGAGCUAGGCCUAUCCUCAAAAACUACUUCUCGCUGCCGAGCUAAAUCAUCUAAUCGAUGGGAAAUCUUACUUAUCAGUUCUUGAAUAGUUUCCGUGCUGUUUGUAGUGUUCCUCGCAUCUCCGAGACAAUCUGAAUAAUAUGCCAUAACCGAGUUGAUAGCUCUAACCUGCAAAAGGAAAAGAAAACAAAAAGAUACUAGCUAGAAAAGGGGUUGGUGGUUAGAGAUAUAUCACAAAUAUAUGGCACAAACUAGAAAAAGAAGAAAAACCUAGUCUAUAGCCUAACACAAUUGCUCGACGCUAGUCCCCGGCAACGGCGCCAAAAUGAUCAAUUGAAAGUACAGCGAGAUAUUUCACCCGAACUACGAGUGUCAUGUUCCCCACAGGGACUAGGCGACGACUACUAUGCUCGACUAAAGCUAGGUAGCACAAUUUUAAGAGAUGAUUGCAGAAAAUAAACCUAAACUAAACAACGUAGUCCCCGAAGAUCAUCGCCAAAGAAAAUGCAAAAUAAGCAAAGGGAGAUUCAAAUUAUACUCUCUGUCUUUUUGGUAUUAUCGUUUUACUUGAGAAAGAAAAUGCUAAAACAAGCAAACAUCAAACGGCUAAGGAAUUAAAAAGACAUGAACAUAUCUAUAUAUAUAUAUAUAUAUAGAUAUAUAUAUAUAGAUAUAUAUAUAUAUAACAAUUAACAGGGGGAAGAAACAAGGUUGUAGGACAGAACAUAAAUGUAUCACAUCACAGACACACGCAUAUGUAUAUAUCACAGGGCACCACACACAUAUAUGAAGAUUACUAUUUCACUAAGCAAGAUAUGACAGAUCAAGUACUUCACAUAACAAACAUAUAUAUCCACAUGUACAUAGCUAACACAGGGACUAAGAAUUAAAGAGGUUCAAACUUCUCACUUGACAAAGCACACAAACAGCACAAAAAUUAACUAGUAAUCUUAGUUCUUACAAAAACACUAAUUGAUAAACAAGGCACAUAUAUUGAAUAAUACUACUAGACAAGUAUAGGUCUCUGAACUAGACAAAAUACUUAAUACAUUACAAUUUCCAUGAAUUACAGAGAGGGAGAAAGAGAACAGCAGGUUCAGUUGGAGACGAGCAGCAACAGUAGGGGAUUCAGAGGAGGAGCAGCAACAAGGGGCGCAAGAAGAAGCAGCAGCAGGUCAUGUUGAGGAAGAAGCAGCAGAUUCAUGGGGAAGAAGAAGAAGCAUGAGCAGCAGUAGAAGUAAGGGAAGAGAAGAAGAGCAGCAGUGGCGUGGGGAUCAGCAACAGGUUUAGAGAAGCAGCGGAGCAGCAGCAGUUUCGAGCAGAGGAGGGUUUCAGUAGGGAGGCGCAAGGAGAAGGAGCAUCAGGGAAAAGAUUCAGAGGACAGCAGCACAGGAAUUAGAGAGAGGUGAGAGCCACACAGAAGUCCAGACACUGUCGGCUGUGUGUCUGGUCGGGCGCACCGACAGGAGGUGAUGGUGGAUGGGUUCUGGCGGCGCUGUAGAUGGAGGGAAGGGUAGGUGGCUGGGAGGCGCACAUGGAUGGAGAUGUAUGGGUGGUGCUGGUGGCGCGGUGGUGCUGAUGGCACGCCGCCACGUCGGCCUGGCCGCGGCGGCGGCCGAAGGUGGAGAAGGAGGGGUGAGGGAGAGAGAUGUGUGCCAGGCUCGAUGGCGAAUGGAGGCGAUCUAGGGAUUUUGAU